Molecule: ribosomal RNA, 641 nt
Filed under: uncultured Acidovorax sp.
Lineage: Bacteria; Pseudomonadati; Pseudomonadota; Betaproteobacteria; Burkholderiales; Comamonadaceae
Description: bacterial SSU rRNA
Rfam family: Bacterial small subunit ribosomal RNA
Source: RNAcentral
CGGUAACAGGUCUUCGGAUGCUGACGAGUGGCGAACGGGUGAGUAAUACAUCGGAACGUGCCCGAUCGUGGGGGAUAACGAAGCGAAAGCUUUGCUAAUACCGCAUACGAUCUACGGAUGAAAGCAGGGGACCGCAAGGCCUUGCGCGAACGGAGCGGCCGAUGGCAGAUUAGGUAGUUGGUGGGGUAAAGGCUUACCAAGCCUACGAUCUGUAGCUGGUCUGAGAGGACGACCAGCCACACUGGGACUGAGACACGGCCCAGACUCCUACGGGAGGCAGCAGUGGGGAAUUUUGGACAAUGGGCGCAAGCCUGAUCCAGCAAUGCCGCGUGCAGGAUGAAGGCCUUCGGGUUGUAAACUGCUUUUGUACGGAACGAAAAGGCUCUGGUUAAUACCUGGGGCUCAUGACGGUACCGUAAGAAUAAGCACCGGCUAACUACGUGCCAGCAGCCGCGGUAAUACGUAGGGUGCGAGCGUUAAUCGGAAUUACUGGGCGUAAAGCGUGCGCAGGCGGUUAUGUAAGACAGAGGUGAAAUCCCCGGGCUCAACCUGGGAACUGCCUUUGUGACUGCAUAGCUAGAGUACGGCAGAGGGGGAUGGAAUUCCGCGUGUAGCAGUGAAAUGCGUAGAUAUGCGGAGGA